This 310-nucleotide unclassified non-coding RNA is filed under the name Hevea brasiliensis (rubber tree). Lineage: Eukaryota; Viridiplantae; Streptophyta; Magnoliopsida; Malpighiales; Euphorbiaceae. The record is from RNAcentral.
ACCAAAUCUUGUUAAUGGCGGAGAGAGGCGAAGUUAAAGUGAUCACCCUAGGAGGCAAGGGUUCGUCUCUCUCGUCCUCCUCCGUCUACGCCGUCGCCACCGGCAAAGCUCAGUUACGUAAUGACUCAUCGGCGCUCGAUAGGUUGCUUUCUGAACAAAACUUUGCGACGCCUCUUAAACCAUUCCAAAUCCCCUUGCCCAAAAUCUUAACACCUCUAGAAAUUCGUGCCUCUCUCACCCUUCUCCUCAAUAAGCUCCUCCUCCACUCUAAUUCGGCCAAUAUCCGUACCCUUCUUCCUAAUCUCAUUUC